CGGGGAAAUGGCCAAGCGAGGAGUGAGCGUCGUACACCUGUCUCCAGGGCCACAGCUAUUUACAAACCGAGUCGGUGAUGAAUACGAACGAACAGGAACACAGACGACCAAUCCCACCAGGGUCAGCAGGCAUGUAAUGGGAAUGCAACCACUUCUGAUGGGCACUGACAAAUGGAGAGUGGCUAUGCUCUGUGCAUCUACCGCUGGGUUGAUGGAUGGAUGAUGGGGAAGGAGAGGAGAGCCGAACGCUACACCAGCAGGUGUCAUGAAAGCAUUUUGUCUCACUACCCUGCUGAGCUAAAUCUCUUCAUCACCUUCAGAGCAGGUUAUUCUUUCCCUUUUACAAAAUAUAAUAUAGUUUAGAGCUAGAUGUGCAAGAUCCUUACAGUUUCGAUUUGUCCAUAUGCUACUGCAUCUUUGCAAAGGGCAUAAAAAUAUAAAUGUAAACAGCACCACAGCUUUAUUUUGGUGGUUGCUGCAUUUUAUUUAAGUUGAUGAAUUCUGUGAAAGACGUAGAAAAGAGUCUGGAGAUGCUGAAUAUGGAAAUCUAUAUACAAAGCUCGUCUUUCUCUACAGUUCAGUUUUAUCUCUCGAAAGAGAUGGCAAUGUGUCCAUGUUUCUUUUCUUUAAUUCUGCUUUAAUUCCCAAACCAGCGAAUACAAUCUGCCUGGUGAGGUUGAAUGAGUCAUGAGCUGUCAUUACCUUAACAACUAUUCUUGAGUUGCCCUUGAGCGGGGCAUUUCUCAGAGGAAGCAACCCAAGAGGCACAACAGCAGGAGACUGUGAAUGUACUUUGUGGCUAACAGGUAUGUGUGUGUGUGUGUGUGUGUGUGUGUGUGUGUGUGUGUGUGUGUGUGUGUGUGUGUGUGUGUGUGUGUGUGUGUGUGUGUGUGUGUGUGUGUGUGUGUGUGUGUGUGUGUGUGCAACCAUGAAUGCAAAAUACAGCAAUGUUGAAAUAGCCUUCAAUGUAAGUUGACCUUUUCUUGACAAACUUAUUAAACCUUUAAUAUUGAAACAGAUUUCUGCUCUACUGGAGGAUACUAAAGGAACUACAAUAUGCAAAAUGUUUAAGUUUGAUUUAGUUGCCAAAAAGAGAGGGCUUUUUUACAUAAAUGUAUAUAGAACAGCUCUAUCUAUGACCAGCAGAAUGCAUUUCAUUGUGUAUAUCAAGAGAACAAAUCACAGCAUUUAAGUGGGAGUGGAGCUGAGGCGUGCCAUGCAAAUGUCUCUUGGUUAUGGACUGUCUUAUGAUGAUAUUCACUCAAUGCGGCCACACCUUUAAGUACAAUUUUAUGAAUUCGUAUAAUAUAAACAGAGGUUUGAAGGUAUAUAUACUCUACCAGUCAAAAGUUUGAAGACAUCUUCUCAUUUAAUGGUUUUUCUUUAUUUUCAGGACUAUUUACAUUGUAGAUUGUCACUGAAUGCAUCAAAACUAUGAAUGAGCACAUAUGGAAUUAUGUAGUAAACAAAAAAAAUGAAAUCAGUCAAAACAUGUUUUAUAUUUUAGAUAAUUCAAAAUAACCACCUUUUGCUUUGAUUUUUGCUUUGCACACUUUUAUUCUCUCGAUGAGCUUCAUGUGGUAGUCAUCUGAAAUGGUUUUCCUGUAGUCUUGAAGGAGUUCCCAGAGAUGUUGAGCACUUGUCAACCCUUUUGCCUUCACUCUACGGUCCAUUUCAUCCCAAACCAUCUCGAUGGGGUUUAGGUCAGGUGACUGUGGAGGCCAGGUCAUCUGACGCAGCACUCCAUCACUCUCCUUCUUGGUCAAAUAGGGUGUUUGGGGUCAUUGUCCUGCUGAAAAAUGAAUGAAGGUCCAACUAAACGCAAACCGGAUGGGAUGGACUCUCGCCGCAGGAUGCUGUGGUAGCCAUGCUGGUUCAGUGUGCCUUCAGUUUUGAAAAAAAAUGCCAGCAGUGUCACCAGCAAAGCACCCCCACACCAUCACACCUCCUCUUCCAUGCUUCACAGUGCGAAGCAUACAUGUAGAGACCAUCCGUUCAUUUUUUCUGCGUUGCACAAAGACAUGGGGGGUGGAACCAAAGAUCUCAAUUUCAAUCAUUCCUUGUGCUUCUUGGCCCAAACAAAUCUCUUGUUGAUUUUUGUUAAUAAUUGUUUCUUUGCAGCUAUUUGACCAAGAAGGCCUGGUUCGCACAGUCUCCUCUGAACAGUUGAUGUAGAGAUGUGUCUGCUACUAGAACUCUGUAUGGCAUUUAUCUGGGCUCUACUCUGAGGUGCUGUUAACUUGCCAUUUCUGAGGCUGGUGACUUGGAUGAACUUAUCCUCAGCAGCAGAGGUGACUCUUGGUCUUCCUAUUCUGGGACAGUGCUCAUGUUAACCAGUUAGCGCUUGAUGGUUUUUGCGACUACAUUUGGGGAUGUGUUCAAAGUUUUUGCAAUUUUGCAGACUGACCAGCCUUCAGUUCUUAAAGUAAUGAUGGACUAUCAUUUCUCUUUACUUAGCUGACUGGUUCUUGCCAUAAUAUGGAUUCUAACAGCUGUCAGAUAGAGCUGUCAACUGUGUACCAACCUGACUUCUGCACAACACAACUGAUGGUCCCAACCCCAUUAAGAAGGAAAGAAAUUCCACAAAUUAACCUUGACAAGGCACACCUAUGAAGGGAAAACCAUUUCAGGUGAGUAUGUCAUAAAGCUUACUGAGAGAAUGCUAAGAGUGUGCGACGCAGUAAUCAAAGCAAAGGAUGGCUAUUUUGAAGAAUCUAAAAUAUAAAACAUGUUUUGAUUUAUUUCACACUGUUUGUUUACUACAUAAUUCCAUAUGUGUUCAUUCAUAGUUUGGAUGUCUUCAGUAAGAAUGUACAAUGUAUAUAAUCAUGAAAAUAAAGAAAAACCAUUAAAUGAGAACAUAUGUUCAAACUAUUGACUGGUAGGGUAUAUAUAAAAAUAAAACACCUUCAGAACAGUUGUCCUAAAGUGAGAAAUUAGCUAUAGGGACCAAAACGAUUUUUUGUACCAGGCUGUAAACGUGUUUAUAUCUUUUGUAAUUUUGACCAAUUUAACCUGAGGUCUAUUGGGACUGACUAUAUUUAGAGCCAGCCUCUAGUGGCCAUUUGAGGAACUGUUUUUGGCACACUUGGGUUGACUUCUUUAAUCAGCGCCUGAGGUUGUCGCUUGUAAAGAAUGACAGUUUAGCUGGUUAUAAAUUAAAAUAUGUAUCAAGAAACAGAUGGACCAAAGGCAAGACAACCAAACAGUUUUCUACAGUACAAAAUAUCAUUACCAGGUAGAUUGAUGUUAUUUAAGCCUUGCAUUUAAAACAUCAUUCUUUUUCUGUUGGUCAGAAUAGAUGUGGUUUGAUAGUGUGUUGCUAUCAGCACAUGAGGUGGUUACCAUUGGUCUAAACACCGACUGUAUUUUCCGCUAUGGUAAUGAAAUGGUGGUCUGUUAUGCUGCCACAUCUGAAAGAUUUAAUCAUAGGGCAGAUUUCUAACACAAACACUGAAAUAAACCUACACACUAGUCUCUUAAAGUGUAUUUCCAGCUGUAAAAGUUACCAUUUUGUCUCAGUUAAUUAUAAUUAUAUUUUUCACACACCAAUUUUUGUUACCUAUUCACAAUGUAAAGCUCAUGUAACGUGUCAUGUAAAAUUUCACUAUUGUGGAAAAUGUGCCUAUUCACUCAUGUUGGGUUGGAUGAGAAAAUUGCUACCACUGUUUUAUGCACCUCUUAAAUGUAUAAAUUACCAUUUUAGAUUUUGUUUGUUAUAUCUAUAUAAAAGCCAAAAUGUAAAAUUGACAGUUCUCUAUUUUAUGUUGGUUACACAUUAGAUUAUUAGAGUGACCAGCCCAGUUCCAAUACAGACACCCCUACAGCAACUCACACAAAUGUAUUACAAACAUGCUUCUAAUAAAUGUCAAAGCUCCACCAGGUUCUUUCUUUGCAUUGCAGACAGAGAGAGUCCGACAGUAGCAUUUCAUGGUUGGUUAACUUCGACUACAGGCUUCACUGAAUACCAGUCAGUUUCCCCUGUAUUCCAUCACCCUUCUUCUCACACGUAUUCACAAGGCCACUCUACAUGCAGUGGUUGCUCCUAAAUAUUUUCUGUUGAAUUUUUCAAAUACACUGGGACUAAGGGUUCUAACAAGUGAACAUGUAGUUCCUGUUUAAAACUAAUGUUUCCUGGCCUAACCAGCUGCUCGUGAUAGCCAACAUUAUUUCUCUUAGCUAAUUUGCAAGUGAGCACAUUUCCCAAAAAUUAUAGCAUUCCUUUCAGCAUAUGUUUUACUCUGUUUAUUUUGCAUUUUAAACCUUUGUACACAUGCAGAUGCUAAUACUAAGCUAUAUGCAGUAUAUGCAUUAUAUACUGUAUCUCAGAGUUCGUAAGAGUAUGGUGUAGCUUAUAAUAUUAUGGGCAAAAUCUCAUCAUUAUCCUCUCUUUUUCUACACACCUCUGAAUUUCCUUACUGCUGCAAAUGCCUUUUAAAACUCCCCUGUGCUUUGUUGUUUUCUGAGAGGAAUAGAGGUCAAGAGGGAAAAUCAAAUUAGGCUCUUAUUUGAUCGUGGUGAAGCAGGAGAGCCUGCUCAUUAAGCAACCGAGCCCCCGCUGCCGAGUCAUUAAGGCCAUAUUUACCAUGCAAUAGCAGUACGUGCAGAAAAACCUGAGAUGAUUUGCCAUGUUGUUUCCACUUAAUUUGAAGGAAAAAAGUUAAAUAGUUAGAGGAUAUUGACAGAGGAGGAGGUAGAAAAUGUGUCUGCCUUCUGUCACUAAGUUGGAAUCCUCGAAUGGUAGCAGUGUGUAGUUCAUACAUUUUGGACACAUAUUUCAGAUUGACAGGCUGAAACUUAUACAUAACAUUGACUGCCAUUAAUGGCCCUUGAUGUAUACCGACAACAAGCUGUAAUGUUACUCAGCACAGUUCAGCAACCUUGGUCAGCACAUAGAGUUAAUGUCUUUAUUUCCACCCUGGCUUCACGCAUUCAGCCUCCCAUCUACUUCUUCGGUGGUAAUGCAUUUUGAUGCCCGUCUAAAAGCCUGAGUGAAACAUGUGCUGCUGGGAGGCCAGCAAGCGUACGGGGGCUAUCACAAAUGAUUACAGUCAGCCAGAGGGUGACGGGGACCACCAGGUGCUGAGGCCUGCUGAGGCAUUACUUAUUGAAUCCUGUCUUUAGCUCUAAGGAGACCCGGGCCAUAUCUAAAUGGCUUUGAGGAAAUCACGCACCCUGUCAGAAACUAUUAGGAUUCUGUCUCAGAAACAAGACCGCCUUGGCCAAAGUUUGCCACUAGUUUAGCAGAGGCAAAAUAUAGUGUUGAGCUAAUGAAGACUGGCUCCUUCAGGCUGUUGCAUGAAUGUGUUUGGACAACAAUCUAUAAAAUUUGCACAGGAAGAUUAAAAAAAAUGAAAAAUUCAAACAGUCUAGACUAUCUUGUAAUGCCUCAAAAGCAGGCAUGAUAGGUAUAUAUACAUAAACUGAAGUCAGUUCCUUAGUUAGUAUUUUUCUCCAGAUGUCAAGCAAAAAAAAAAAAACGCUCUCAAAUCAACACACUUAAAUUAGAGCAGCUAGUUUGGGCUCUCAGACCCAAACACACGCCUGAUGCAAACAAAUAUUAUGAGCCAUCUCACUGCACUUGCAGAGAAAAACAAAAUAAAACAAGAUUAGAAGGAAUCAAUACAUAGACAAGAACCCACAUUUAACAAUGGCAGAUUUAAAAACUAGGGCCCCGUAUCCCAGACGUGUCUUAAGUGUAAGAUAAUUGUGAAAUCCAUCAUACAAGCCUUCUUAAGUUUGAGAAGUGUAUCCCAAAAGCCUCAUAACCAAGGAAGCUCUUAGAAAUAAUUAGAAAUGAUUUUUAUCAACAAGUACGUCCUUGCAUGGAUCAUUAGCUUAAAUGUCAAUAAUAAAAUAAAAAAUAAUUUCAAAACUGCUUGUAGGUGGCUAAGAGCAUCUUAAAACAGCAUAAUAUCUACAGGAGAAACUGGGAACCAUGACAGAUUUCAUUCAUGUAUGAACCCAGAUGGUCUUUGUCAAGUAGCAUGUCAUAUACAAUGAGAGAUUUUUUAAUUAGAACAUUACUGCUGCACUGAUUAUAAACACAUACAAAUUGACUGAUAAACUUGCCGAGUGGCACAGUAGUAGCUGGAGGUCCCAACAUUCUUUUAAAAAAACAUUUCAUUAGUACCCUGCAAAAGAAAAAGAUUAUUUAAAAAAAAAUAGUUAUUAAAAGCCCGUUAUGACAUUUCCAUCAAUGUCAUGCUUUUUCAGUCUUAGUUCUACAUCCUUUCACACUGCAAUUAGUCACCUAUCGCAGCUGUGUUUGUACUAUAAUGGAUGUCAAAAAAAUAACUUCUGAAACACUGAAUAAAAAUGGAAAAAAAACAGAAGGGAGGUCAUGACACACUCUGUUAAUGAACCAUGGUAAGUCUCUGGCAUGAGACGCUGAAUACCAAGUGAUAAGUGACUAAUGUUAUGGAUGCAGAGUUGUGUGUGGUUGUUGUGUAGCAGCCUAGUAGGUACUCUGCAUUUGGCACCAAAAUAGCACACCAUAGACAAAGUGAAUCUCAAGAUAUGUGGAAAUACCAGUAAUGUCACAUUGGAUCACCACUGUCCAUAUUAUCAUCUGCCGCAAUCAUCAGGUCCAUCUUAACAACUGCCUUCAUUAACAUGAACAACAAAGAGGCCUUGACCCCCACAGAGAGCAAAAGCAUAAAUCUCUGAAGAAAAAAAAACCCUACAUAUAGUUUAAUGUAUCUUCAUAUAUUAUAUAGAUUCUACAGAUUUCUAAAAAACCCUGAUAAUCCAACCUGGUCUGACAAUGUUCAGUAAGCUUCUUGUUAUGUCAGGAAUGAUUGGCUUUCUCAUGUGUUUGUGAUGAAUAAAGGUCUUGAAUCUUGAAUCAUUCUACAAGUGUCCUCAUGAAUGUUCAGUUGGGUCAAGAUUGGAUGACAAUGAAGGAAAUUCCAUUAUACUCAGCUCUUCUGGGUCUUUAAGUAGUUCUUAGAAAGCGUUGAUGUGUGUUUGUGUUCAUUAUCCUUCUGCAGCAUGAAUACCUCUUCACAAAGACGCAAACCAGAAGGUGCAACACAUCUCGUAAGAAUGAAGUGCUGCUCCUUUUUGAUUGGGCUGUAGUGGAUUCCAUGCAGUUGUCCAACUUCAGUUGUGACAGUUUGCCGUCCAGUCAUUCUUUGAUUUCUGACUGUCUUUUAUCAAUGUGUUAACUUUCAUAUUGUUUUAGACCCACCACCUCAAACUGAUCACCCGAUCUUUUCAGCUUCCAUUCUCAUCAUCCUAAUUUCCCUCAUUAGUUCUCCUACUUGUGUACCAGCAGUCCACCACUCACCAUUUGCCAGGUUAUCUCUGAGCAUUUUGCAAUAGCAUUUGCAUCUAACUAGAUAAUUAAAUAAAUUAAUUCAGUCAAUAUUUCUCAAAAGUGUCCCUAGGGUUAGGGUUAAAGAUAGUAAUGAAAGUGCUACAUGUAAAACUGAAUAUGAAUCUCUGAUAUGUAAGUGCCAGCCAUGUGAGGCAAUAUAGUCAUUUAAUGUGGAGCCCUUAGAGGGCUGUGAGACACAGUGUCCAUAUAAAGUUGAAAGCCAAGACAUCCAACUUUGUGGUCUGGUUUGAAUGUCACAUUAACAUCUAUGCUGUCUGUGCCAUAAGUGCUGUGACAUUCUCCAUCGCUGGCCCGGGCAGUAGAGUCUCUCUGCCACAUCCUUCAAAAUCUUUGGCGUAUUCUACAGUAGCCUGAUAGUGUGUCAUCUCAAGUCAUUAUCUUUCGUGUUUAAUACAAAUGGUCCAGUUAGUGCUAUCACUAGUUCAGGGACCCAGUAUGUUGUACUUGUUUAUGAUACUUAGUAUUUUGUUACCAGCGUUUUCAAAGAAGCUUGACCUUUUCUCAAUCUCAGCCCUCCACUUGCGCCUGACCUUUGGCUAGGAAACCACACGCGCUAGCUGAAGACGCUCGUGUUCUCUCCUCUCAAAUGUCAUGCCCGGAAGCACUACAGGUCCAUAUCUCUCAUCUAAACACUUUACACUCUGUUACCACUCAAAACCAUAUUAGAACAGCAACUAAUUUAAAAGGGCACAAAAGGGUUUUGAUUCUACUACACAAACCACGUAAUGCUUGGCAAGAUGGGCCCAGUUUUUCAGUUUUACACUCCAGAUUUGAAAAAAGAAGAAAACAUAAGAAUAAAAUACACACUGUUUGCAGUACAUUUUAAAUUGUGCAAAUAGUACACUAUACAUUGAAAGUAAAGUGUAGGUGCCUGUCCCAAAAGACAAUAAUGUAUUUUAUCUUCAGCUGUGAUGGAAAAAAAGAAAGGGUAACUCUAACCUACCUAUGAACCGACCUAAGCAGAAUGCAGAAUACACAAUGCACAAUAGAAAAAAGACAUGACAAAGAUAAAGGUGAAAUAUACAAGAUUUGAAUGUUAUCUGGUUUGAAUGCUGCAUACAGAACCUCUAUUACGAUGCAACGGCAUGGAAUAAAAGUUGUUUCAUUUUUGUCUGUUCAAGAAAAUGGAGAUAAUUCAGAGGAAAUCAAAUGAAAGUGAAUGCAGAUAAAACUGAAUUUCAAACAUUUCCCUCACACCAUUUAACAAAUCUCUAUUAAACAAAAAUGUUGACCCAAAACCAAAUCUAAUUUUAAACAGUUCUUUUAUUGUUUCCACUGGCAAUAUAAUCUUAUUAACUGAAUUGUUACUAAUGGCACAGAUACUAAUUAAACUGAAAAGAGGAAGGAAGCUGUUUAAUGGUAAAAGCUCCUUUACAAUUAUGGAACAAUUAUUUGUAGCUUAGCUUUCAUUUCAAAAGUGCUUUUUUUCAAAUAAUGACAUUACCUUUCACAAUUUACACACAACAAUAUUAUGCAAUACAGAGAAUUCUGAAACCAACAGUGAAACUGUGACAAGUGAUGAGGUUUUUGAGAUUUUCUUCUAGGGCAAAAUAUUAUUUCAGCUGGCAGCUGGAAUGCUUGGUAUCACUACCUUGCUAAAACAUCCACUCUCAAGACGUGAUUAUGUUUUUUUGGCUGAUUUCUUUACGUCUGCAUCCAAUGCAUCUACAUAAAUACCACUAACACCACUGUAGGAAAAACAGCCACAGACGUUCCUACCUCCACGGUUUUAGUACACGGAGUACAGCCUGGCUAACCUGGCAAUAGCCAGAUUAAUAAUUGUGUAGUACGUGAUAGUACUCCACAAUAUCAAUCUGGGACCGCUCCAUGUAAAUCCGUUCGGAGGAAAGAGGCACGUAUUGGACAAUGCAACAGUAUGUCCCACCUCUGACAGGUUUGUUUUUAGCCAAUCGCGGGAUCUUCACAACGAGCGGAGCCAAUUGAUAGAUUAAACUCUUACCAAAACCCAUAGGUAAAAAAGCACAAACAUCUUUACCAUCCAGAAAUGCGCAAAGCGCCUCUCGUUGUUCUUCCUUCAAAGAAGCGAUAGGAGAUUCAGCUAAAACUGACUUAAUAGCAGCAUCUACACGAUCGUUGUCCUCCGUUGCCAUGUUUGUUUUGAUCUACUGGCACUUGGUGUCGUCUUCACACCCGGAUAUCCCGCCCCACACACGAAUACUGCUGCGUGAUUGGCCCGUGCCAACUUGGCUCUGCACGAACAGUGAAUGCGGGAGCGGAGCAAGAUGGUUUCUUGAGAGAUUUGUGAACUCACAAAUAUCGCGAGAAAUCAACUUGCUGGCAAGGUUACAGCCUGGCUGGAAUUCCUCCCUUGGAUUUAUCUACACAAAGUUCAAAGGCAGAAUAUGGACUUAUUCAAAAAUAGCACACGUCUCCAAAAGUGGUUAUCUUGCUUCUUAUUAACUUUAGUUAUUAAUCUUAUUCUUUAAGCUUAUGAAUGCUCUCUACUGUAUGUCUCUGCUGGUGUUCUCAUACCUGAUCCUAUUUCAAAUGGUCUGUGAACUGAGUUGUGUCUUGUAAGUCUUGUCAAUCUCUGGAGCAAUUCUUGCUGCUGAGUGUUGGCUGUUUUUAUUGACUUUACUCAAAAUUAUGCGGUCAAGUUUGCUGCAGGUUUUUCUGGGUCUAGGUCUAUGCUCAACUGCAGGAGGAUGGUAGAUUUUUGGUUAUCUGAUGAACAGACUCACAUUUUUUGUGCUAACAAUUUUAAAAAUGUAGCUUACUAAAUAAUGUAGUAUGUUAAUAUAAUUGAAAAAGACUGAAUGAUUGGCACCUUCAGUUGGGGGAUCUGAUGGCUCUGUUGUGCUAUGGUGGAUGUUUUGCCAGCAUGAUUUUUGUCCACUUCUCACCGUAAAGGGAAGGGUCACUGCAAAUCAAUACAAAAUUGUUCUGAGUGAUCAAAAAGUAUUAAAACUGUCCUGGUGGCAUGUGAAGUCCCGACACCUUACUAAGACACUAUCUGCAUUUAUUUUAUUAUGUGCCUCAUAACAAAGGGCACAGGAUCAUUUUCUUUGUGUUGGUGAAGAUUUUGGUCACUUAAAUGACACAAUAUUCUGUUAAACUAAAACUCAAUGUAUGCACAGUAUUUUGCGUCUCCAGGUCACGCCUCCCAGUCAGAAUGUAUAAUUUGCAGUAAGUCCAGUCAUUAGCUUGCUAAUGUGACUAACACAAGCCUUGUUAUGAUUACUUAAAACUAUAAUGUUUAAUUCAUUUAGCAUUUCUCCAAGGUUGCUUCUAUUAUCUUUGCCAUUUUUGCAGUUGUUUAACUGGCCAAUUGCAUCCAUCCAUUCAUUUUAAUAAUGGAGUUCUACAGUGUUUUAAAAUUACAACUUGUCCAGACACUUUUUCAUUAUCGUUUGCAUCAAGAUGUGCAUACGUGUACAAGUGACAAAUUGAUUUAUGUUAUGUUAGAAGAAAAAUGGUUUGAGAUGGAUUAAAUCAGUAUAGCAAAAAAAUUUAAAAAAUGUCUAAAUAAACUUCAUGGAAGGUUUCUGAUAGUUUGUACUGCAUACAGACAUAUCCUGGCUAAGUGGUUAUGGGGCAGCCUAGCUGGGUUGAAAGGUCCCGUAGCAGGUUGAACUGCUGACUAGCCAGGCUGCACUUCUUAUUCUUGCAUUUAUUUACACUACUGUGCUUUCAAAAUAAAGGCAAACUGCCAAAAAAACAAAAACAAAACAAAGCAUAUCCAUGGUAACACUAUGCAUCUUCAUAAAAAUGUGGCAUGUACUAUCACAUUUACUUUUAGCUGAUAUAAAAACUCACUCUCAUUGAAUAGAGAGCUUUACAGACCACAGGGAGCAGAAAAGAGGCCAAAAGGUCAAAGAACUGCACAUGUUAAAAUGGAGUGCUUUUGAAAUCAGAAUGUUUCUUCCAAGACAGUUGCCUCUGAAGUGUGAAAACUUUCAUUGAUCACAUGCACAAGGCCAUGCCAUUACAUUAACCACACAGAGUCGUCAAGAAAAAAAAGCUGAGAGGGAACAAAAGCAGGUGGAAAGAAUUCAUUCAAGUUUAAUUGAUUAGCUGAAUGACACUAAAUGACAAGACUGAAUUGCCCUAUCAAGUGAGUUAAAGGCAUUAUGGAGGAUGUUUUUUUUGUUUAAUUUGUCUGAUUCACAUAAAAUGAAUAUACUGACCUUUAGUGGACUUGUAUGUAUGGUCUCUAAAAGAAUAAAAAAUACAAAUAAAUAACUGUGGACAUGGCAGGACCUGAAAAACAUCAGCCAAUCAAUGCGCUCGGACCGAGGCGUUUGGUUUGCUCCCUUUCCUGUCAAUCAAAAAUCUUCCGGCUCAGGCUUAGUUACGUAGAUUACGUACGCCUUGGACUUACGUGUUUUCUGUAUGUGUUGCUUUGGUAUAGCUUCGUAGUUAGCUGGCGACUUGUUUUGCUCAUCUUUUUUUACAUAAUGGCAGAUAAAGAUCCAGGGGGAUCCAGCCGUAAAAGACAACUUCACGAGUGCUACGCAAGUUUCUGGAGGGGGGGCGUUUCUUCGUAAAUGUUAAGAGGGGGGAGGUUAGAGGGGGUCGAGGGAGAGGUUGUAUGUGCGCAUGCGCAUGCUUCGUUCAAAGUCGUAGGAAAUUAAAUCUCCUCUAAUGCCUUUAAAGCACGUGAUCUACUUUCAUUGCUUUAGAAAAGUUGCAUCAUGCCUUUAUAUGAUGUGAUCUGUCUUUGAACCUAAAACUAAGCUCAAGGCCCAAAGAUUUACAGGGAUUGCUGCAUUCACUUGAACUAGCAACUUCUGAUGCUGAAAUUGGUGUUGAGCCACCACUUUAGCCACCCCACCAUCUUGCCUCCAUCCAGAAUAAAAGCUGAGUUUACCAAGCAUGGGACUUGCGUUGCCAGAAUUAACCACUUAAGGAAUCUGAUCAAACUCCACUUUGUUUGUUUUUGCUUCCAUCUGUAAACCAGUCUGUCCUGAACAGUCUGUGGCUGUUGAAACGAAACAUUUCAAAUCAAUCUAAAACAUUUGCUUUUGAAAAUUAUUACAAGCAAUGCACGUUAUGAACAAUUUGUACAUACUGGGCUGAAAUAUGAAUGCAAAUCCUUUCUUGUAUUUCCACCUAAGAUGUUAUUUUUUUCCCUUUUUAUUGCUGGCCAAACCGUAGAUAAAUGUGUCAUCCUCUAUGUUUCAUCUUCCUUUCUUCUAUCCUUAUAUAGUAGGCAUUAAAUACAUUUCACAAUCAAACAUUUUUUCCCUUCAUAGAGCACCCACACUAGUCAAUUUCCAAUAUAAAUUGUCAUAGACAUAAAACCUACAGCGCUGUAAGCGCUUUCCACUCUACGAUGAGCACACACCCAUCCAUCAACUGGCACUACCCACACACACAUGCACACACAAACAGGCAGGCUUUCACACCAACCUCCAGGCAAUAAACAGAUGUAUUUCUCUCUAACAUGUAAGUUCUAUUAUCCGUGGGGAUAGCAGCUCUUAGUCUCUGAGAUCAUCACAACAGCAGGGCAUUAUCUCACUCUUUCUCUCCAUCACACCAUCCACUCCCCCAAAUCCCAAUACCUUCACAUGAAACCAUUCUUCUCCUUCGCUCUCUCCCGGUAUAAUCUCUGCUUGAGGCAUUACUCAUUUCUGCCUGGCAUGUUGGGAGGUCUGUUUCAAUAGACUAUGGACAAAAGAAGCCCAUGGUGCAUGUGUGUCGGUCUGAUACCAAAUUGCAGUCGGAGUGUAAGCCCCUGAGUAGAUGCUCCGAGCAGUAUUUUGACAGCCUUGCAGCAUUUUGCUUUACCCUUAUUUCAAAAACACAUUGAUGAUGGGUUGGUAAACCAGAUUAGGGAAUUUGAUCAAGUACAGCAAGGCGUACACUUACAGAUACAUCCAUCCAUCCUCUAUACACCGCUUUAUCCUCAUUAGGGUCGCGGGGGGAGCUGGAGCCUAUCCCAGCUGACUCGGGCGAAGGCAGGGGACACCCAGGACAGGUCGCCAGUCUGUCGCAGGGCUACAUACACAGACGAACACUCACACUCACAUUCACACCUACGGGCAAUUUAGAGUACUCAAUUAACCUCAGCAUGUUUUUGGACUGUGGGAGGAAGCCGGAGUACCCGGAGAAAACCCACGCAUGCUCAGGGAGAACAUGCAAACUCCAUGCAGAAAGAUCCCAGGCCCACCCCGGGAUUCGAACCAGGGAUCUUCUUGCUGCAAGGCGAAAGUGCUAACCACUACGCCACUGAGCAGCCUCUUACAGAUACACUAUAGCAUUAUCCACUCUCCUAGUAAUGAGUACAUCCAAUCGUGCCACCAAAACAACCGUUAUCCAUUGAGCCUCCACAAGAUGUCUAAAGGUGUACAAUGGCAUUAGGCAACAUAGUGGCAGAUCCUUUAAGUCCUAGAAGGUGCGAUGUGGGGGCCUGCAUGGUUCCGGACUUGUUUUUCCAACACAUCCCACAGAUGUAGAUCAGAUUGAGAUCUGGGGAAUUUGAAGGUCAAGUCAUCCCCUUAAAUUCUUUUUCAGAUUUCUCAAUACUUUUGCAGUAUAGCCAGGGUUUAUUAUCAUCUUGAAAGAGGCAAAUGCCAUCAGGGGAUGCUGUUGUCAUGAGGGGUUGUAUAUAUCCUGCAGCAAUGCUUAGGCAGGUGGUACAUGUCAAAGUAACAUCCACAUGAAUGCCAGGCCCCAAGGUUUCCCAGCAAAACAUUCUGCAAAGCGUGGCAUUGCCUUUACUAUGUAUCCUCUUCCCAUGGUGCAUCCUGCUGACAUCUCUCCCUCAGAUAAUGCACCUGGUUGUCCACAUGAUGAAAAGAAAACAUGAUUCAUUAGAAAAGACCCAUUUCUUGCAUUGCUCAAUGGUCCAGUUCUGAUGCUCAGAUACCCAAUGUAGCAGGUUUCUGUAGGGGACAGGGAUCAUCAUGGGCACUGCACCACACACAGCAAGCUCAAAUGCUGCAGUUUCUGCUAAAGUAGAUAUUCUGUAACCUGCAGCCUUUGCUCCCCACGCACAUGAAUGAACCUUGGACACCCAUGACCGGGUUCCCUGGUUGCCCUUCUUUGAAACACUUUUUCUUAAGUACUAAACCUGCAUACAGGGAACACACCACAAGAAUUGUUGUUUUUUGUUUUUUGUUUUUUGGAGAUGCUCUGUCCCAGUUGUCUGAUUCUUAUUCUGUGCAUUUUCUUGCUUCCAACACAUCAACUUUAAAAACUGACUGUUCACUUACUGCCUAAUAUAUCCCACUGGUCAGUGGUAUUGAGGUUGUGGGUGAUUAGUGUAUAUAACCUACUGUAUCCUAGGACAUUUUGUUUCUAUCAGUCAGAAUCACAAAGAUCCCCUUGAGACAUGUAAAAUGAGAUUAUCCCUUAUUCAAAGUGUCAUUUUGAGAAGGACAGGGUGAUAGCUAAACCUGCACUAACCUAAUCACCACCUUGAGAAAUGCAGCACAGCUUGUUUUAUUCAUUCUAAUAUGCAACAUUAAAAAGCAGUUUCUUUUAAAUCCUAUCACAUUAACAGCCCUAAAUGUCUGGAAUUUGUCAGAGCAGAAAUGUGCUGUUUGUUGCUCACAAGGAUAAGUCUGGAUGAAAGAAAACAAAUCCACAUCUAUGUAUUUCUCCAUGCCCAAAGAUUAGACUGAGUGAAUUCUUAUUGUAGUAAAAAGAGAUAAAGAAAGAAAAUGAGAAACACAGAGAGACAAAAAAAAGACAGUCUGAAGACUAAAUUCAUAUUCCAAGCAUCAUUAGUUUGAAAUGACUUCUCUGGGUACAGAUGUGGUUUAGACUGUGAAAAGAAUCUGAGUGUUCGGGAUGUGGGGAAUAAAAGUAGUGACAAAAAUCUUCGAAGAUGGCAGCAGAUGUUAUAGUCGCUUCACCAAAGAUUUAUGUGUUAAUACAGCGCUGGUCUAGUGCAGGAUUUUUCAGCUCUCGACUGUCACACCAAAUAGUAACAGAGGGACACCACCAGUGUGGUGGCAGAAAUCCUGCAAUUGGAGUGAAGGCAAUUUCAUCUGUGCUGCUCUUAGUGUGGAAUGAGAUGCUUUCAAAUGAUGAACAAGUAAAAUAUCUGAACAACUAAAAGUGACCACAAUGCUAAAGGUGAGACAGGAGGUAUUUAUAUUUGUGACUUGGUUGAUCUGACCCUUUAAGAUGUUUUGAAUUGGAAAAAAAAAAAGAAGUAUAUUUUUAUUUCCCACAGCUGUCAUGGCCGUCAGAGCAAAAUGGUGAAUGCAUACUGUGGAGCACAUACAGUAUGCGGUUUUCUGUCAAGCUGUGGCUCUGUAGAAUAUGUUGAGAUUAUCAAGGUUUGCAGAGAUUCUGAAAUAUUGCAAACUGGCACUGAUGUGAAUGAUGAAUUGGGAUGCUUGUUGCUUCACGGUUCUCAAUAGCUCUUUGUUUGAGCCGGGCUGUGGCCAAAGUUGAGGCCCACUCAGCCCCAGAGUGCUUUCCUACACCUGAAUACUAAUGAAGAGUUUGUGAUCUUAACUUGACUUUGACUUCAGCAAGGAGGAGAUAAUGUGAAGCACUCUGCUGGGCGGAGAUAGGGACCUGCAGAGGGCCGUCUGACACCGGGCUGUGGAAGAUCAACAGGAGGAGCAGUGGAGAGCGGAGUAAAGUGAUGUAAGUGGAGAAUGUCAGCGUGAUGUUACCCGGUGAAUUACAUUCGUCCCGUGUUACUGAUCACACAUCUGUUACUGAUCAUGCAUCAUUCAGAACCUGCUUUUUUUUUAGGAUUCAUUUUCAUUAUCAUUAUCUCAGUGUGCGCUCCAGUGAACACCACUUGAUCCUUUAUAUACUCCAGAGGCAAUUAAACUUAAUGUUUUGAAUUACAAUAAAAAAUAAGUGGAAGAGAGGGGAGUUUGGAAAGCACUAGAUUCUGAACUGAAAGUGUGUAGAGCUGAGUGAUCCCCCUGAGACUGGAGGCGUAGGGCUCUGUGGGGAGCAUUAGAGAUGUUUUGUAACUGGAAACAGGAAAAUGGAGGACUUUCAGGGAUCAGAAGGCUGAAGUACACUACGGGGAGAAAAAAAAUUCUCCCACUCCUGGUUAUGUGUGUUUGUGCAUUUGUGUGUUGCUUAGAAACAUGCCAGAAUCUCUUUGAACAUGGUCUUUUGACGUCAGCUGUUAGCAACAUUGACUCCUACUCACUCUCUGCACUUUAGAUAGUGCUUUAUGCUCUUUAUUUGAUUGAGCAGAUUAAUUCUUGAAUAAAGAUUAGCGCUGGUGCUAUGUAUUUUGAACAAAAGGCAACGGGGAGACACAGUAUGCCCAUGAACGUUUGACAAAUACUUGCACUACCCCUUUUGUGUCUGAACUACAGAAACACAAAAUGGAAACACAUUUGAAAAGUUAAUGUGCUGUAGCUACAAGACUGAAACAGACCUCCUAGAGCAGUAACAGUAAACAGAAGACAUGAAAGUUUGAAUUUUAAUGAAAGAGUCGUGCUGCUUUUAAUGGCUUUGCACGAUUGUGUGAAGACGGCAUUGGCUCAUUUUAGACAGGACAAUGGCAAUUUCAGUGUCAUUCUGGCUUCAUUCUUCAAAUCACUUGUAUGCACAAAGGGUUCCCAAUUUUCUAUUACAGUUUCAAAUAGCUGACUGUCACGAUUUAAUUUCAACUAAUUAAAGGAAAAACGAAACAAAUCUUUGUCAAACUCCACUUGUUCAGUGAAUAUUUAAAAUUGUGCCGGAAAAAAAUCGCCAAAUGAUGCUGACGAGGCAGAAGAAGGGGAGAAAUUUCACUCACAAGUUAUGCAUUUUUCAUUGUUGUUUGUUCGUUUUCUCAAUUAUAUGACUGCAUAGUAACUUCUAAGUAAAUAUUUUUGCUGGCAUAGCUGGCAUGACAUUAUGCUCUUCAAAUCGUAUUCAUAAUAAUGGCACAAGAAUGAGAAUUUAAGAAAGUAUCAAGAAGCUGUCCCUCACAGUCUAUAACAAUAUUUUAUAUGCAAUCACAAAUUAUAUAAAAAAAAACACAAACAAGCUCGCAAAAUUUUUGAUCUGAGGGCUGGCAGUACGAUAGAUAGAUCACUACGUUCAGAGAGCACAUACGUUUACCAUUAAGGUAUGAUUUAAGAUGAAGAAAACAUGAGUAUUUUUCAAAGUCUUGCAGGGGUUACCUGUGGAGAACAAGCUCAGCCUGUAGGUGGUGAAAUAUUCAUCCUGUAAUCCUUUUCAAUCUGAGCUUAUGUGAAGAAUUGUGUGUACCUAAACAUUUUUCUUAUGUAUUCCUGGGAACCAAAGAGGGUGCAGUGCAAUGCAGUAUUGGUGGUUAUGCUAUAGAUGCAAUGUAAACAACUCCUUUUGCAUGCACAGCGAUAAUAACAUUCCCUGGUCAAAUUACAUUAGCUACAGUUGACCUCCAAAGUCUGAGCUAUAUUGUGUUGAAUGUGUGAAUGGUUAUGUGUCAAUGUGUGCGGUUUUAAAAAGCCACAGAAACAUGGAGCAACUUUUCUGCAAAUAUUGUUCUAAUCUCUACAGUUUUUAAGGAGUGUAGACCUUUAAUUUAAAAUAAUAGUGGGACAUAUGGAUGUGAGUGCAAUGUAAUUGUUCUGAAUAUGAUAAGAUGCAGAUUUUGCAAAUUUUUUGCCUUGUGUUGUUCAUGAACUAAUAUUAAUAAUGCACCCCCAAUUAAGACUCAAUAGAUUUUUGUCAGUUGGUUUGGAUGCUGGUGUAAUUUACUUGAAGGGAUGCAAAAAUGGUAACUAAUGAUGAGGUAGUCAUGAAGAAAUAAUGUGUCCCUGUGGUAACAGCUCAGUGUGUCCGUCUCUCCCAGGAAGCAAGAAAAAUAAUCAACCGUUGCUGUAGACAUUUACCCCGAGGCAUUUCAAACUGCUAUGUUAAAAUCUGUAGUUAUGAAACCCAGCCUGGACAUUGUUGACCUUUGUAAUUACAGGCUCAUCUCUUAUCUUUAUUUUUUCUUGGUAAACCUCUAGGGAAGCUCAUUAUCAAGUAACUUUUGGAUUUCUUGAACAACAACCUUUUAGAAAUGUUCCAAACUGUUCCAUCAAAUUACCUAGAGCACUGAAACAGCCAUACAGAGACACUGAGAUUGACUGUUACCUAUUAUCAAUUGUCAUUGUUGCUAUUCCUUUGGAUUUAAAUCCUGCCUUCGAGAGAGUUGAUUAUUACAUUGUAAAUGGCAGACUAGUGUUCAUGCUUGUCAAGCAGAAAGUCUUUACUUAAUUUAAGUAAUUUUCUAUCCAAAACAAUUGGAAUUGAUCAUAGUGUUCUUAAAUAAAGUAUUCUGAGCCCUGUUCUCUUUUCUUUAUGCUCCUAGCCAAGUGUGAAGAUAAUUAGCAGCAGUUGGAGGCCUGAGGUAGAAGUGCAGACAAACUAGCUGUUUCUUUUGUGAAUAUGCAGCAAAAUAUGACACACCAAACAUGUUGGAUCACAGAUGGCAUGAGGACCUGUAGUAUCAGCAGUCCCUGGCAACCCUUUAUGGACUGCCACUGUUAGGAUCUUGCUCUGGCCCCUGCCCUUCUUCCCCCUUUCUUCCUCUUUUUCCUCCUUUCUGGUUUCCUGAUCUGUUUCGGUUUGGUCCUGCCUUUUUGGUUCCCUGUCUGUCACCUCUCCCUCCUGUCUCUCUCUCUCCCUACCACUCGCCCUCCUGCUCUACCUGCACCCUGCCUGCUGAUUACCCCAAAGACUGUCAGCUGCAGUAAUCAGUAAACUCAGCUCACCUGUACACAAGCUCUCCUCACUAGUUAAACCCCGCUCAGUCACUCAGUCUCUGUUGGAUCGUAGAAGCCGUUUCCUCACCAAACCUGCCACCUCUGGACUGUUACAUGGACUCUUCUACUCUUCCCCCCUCUUGGACUCUGUUGCUCUCCUGUCUGUUCUUGGGUUUUCCCCAGCCUGUUUCCCCCUCUUGGUUGUCAGUUCCCCCGUAGUGUAAGUACCUCUUCUUAGCUCUGUUUAGUUAAUCCAGUUUAGUAGACUUCUGUUUCUGUACUCUUAGUUUUGGUUUAUAGUAGUUUGGUUUUGUUCUGCUUGCUGUAGUUUAGUGCUUAGUUUAUGUAUUGGUUUAGCUAUUUGAUUUAAUAAAGGUCUUUUGGCAGCCA
Acanthochromis polyacanthus (spiny chromis) is the source of this 19347-nucleotide long non-coding RNA. RefSeq lists it as uncharacterized. The transcript is spliced from 2 exons. NCBI's taxonomy places the organism in Eukaryota, Metazoa, Chordata, Actinopteri, Pomacentridae. The record is from RefSeq and is a predicted model, not a curated record.